This 329-nucleotide unclassified non-coding RNA is filed under the name soil metagenome. RNAcentral's name for it is "partial contains 5.8S ribosomal RNA, internal transcribed spacer 2, and large subunit ribosomal RNA". The stretch from base 1 to 120 matches the Rfam family "5.8S ribosomal RNA", at positions 35 to 154 of the family's 154-position model. The record is from RNAcentral.
GAUGAAGAACGCAGCGAAAUGCGAUAAGUAGUGUGAAUUGCAGAAUUCAGUGAAUCAUCGAAUCUUUGAACGCACAUUGCGCCCCUUGGUAUCCCGAGGGGCAUGCCUGUUCGAGCGUCAUUUCACCACUCAAGCCUGGCUUGGUGUUGGACGACGUCCCCUUUGGGGACGCGCCUCGAAACGCUCGGCGGCGUGGCACCGGCUUUAAGCGUAGCAGAAUCUUUCGCUUUGGAAGUCGGGGCCCCGUCUGCCGGAAGACCUACUCGCAAGGUUGACCUCGGAUCAGGCAGGGAUACCCGCUGAACUUAAGCAUAUCAAUAAGCGGAGGA